This 305-nucleotide ribosomal RNA is filed under the name uncultured bacterium. RNAcentral's name for it is "bacterial SSU rRNA". It matches the Rfam family "Bacterial small subunit ribosomal RNA", at positions 333 to 654 of the family's 1533-position model. The record is from RNAcentral.
UUUGGCCUACGGGGCGCAGCAGUGGGGAAUAUUGCACAAUGGGGGAAACCCUGAUGCAGCGACGCCGCGUGAGCGAAGAAGUAUUUCGGUGUGUAAAGCUCUAUCAGCAGGGAAGAAAAAUGACGGUACCUGAGUAAGAAGCACCGGCUAAAUACGUGCUAGCAGCCGCGGUAAUACGUAUGGUGCAAGCGUUAUCCGGAUUUACUGGGUGUAAAGGGAGCGUAGGUGGCAGGGCAAGUCAGAUGUGAAAGCCCGGGGCUCAACCCCGGUACUGCAUUUGAAACUGUCCAGCUGGAGUGCAGGAG